Molecule: unclassified non-coding RNA, 240 nt
Filed under: soil metagenome
Description: partial contains 5.8S ribosomal RNA, internal transcribed spacer 2, and large subunit ribosomal RNA
Source: RNAcentral
AACGCACGAGACCUGCGGACCUGCGGAAGGAUCAUUAAUGAGAAACUGCCCCUCGCGGGUAGAUCUCCCACCCUUUGUAAACUUACCUUUGUUGCUUUGGCAGGCCCGUCUCCGGACUGCCGGCUUCGGCUGGCCAGUGCCUGCCAGAGGAUUCUAAAACUCUGUCUGUCAGUGUUGUCUGAGUCUAUAUACAAUCGUUAAAACUUUUAACAAUGGAUCUCUAGAUCGGAAGAGCACACG